GCAGCAUUGGCUCAGCGGUAGAGCGCUGCCUUGGUAGGGCAGAGAUCCCGGGUUCGAUUCUCGGAUGCUGCU
Molecule: transfer RNA, 72 nt
Filed under: Nanobdellota archaeon
Lineage: Archaea; Nanobdellati; Nanobdellota
Description: tRNA-Thr
Rfam family: tRNA
About the family: Transfer RNA (tRNA) molecules are approximately 80 nucleotides in length. Their secondary structure includes four short double-helical elements and three loops (D, anti-codon, and T loops). Further hydrogen bonds mediate the characteristic L-shaped molecular structure. tRNAs have two regions of fundamental functional importance: the anti-codon, which is responsible for specific mRNA codon recognition, and the 3' end, to which the tRNAs corresponding amino acid is attached (by aminoacyl-tRNA synthetases). tRNAs cope with the degeneracy of the genetic code in two manners: having more than one tRNA (with a specific anti-codon) for a particular amino acid; and 'wobble' base-pairing, i.e. permitting non-standard base-pairing at the 3rd anti-codon position.
Source: RNAcentral